CCAUAACACCCCAUUCACUUCUCACCUCUCACUCAAAUAAACCCUAACUAUGAAUCCUUUUUAACGAUUUAUACUUUUGUAUAUUGGCAGGGCGUUGCUCCACUUUCUCGAUUCUUCAAUAACAAGGAUGAAUUCGUGCAGAACUACAAGAAUCUCAGCUCAUUUAAUGAGAUUGAGGUUUCCCUUUUGAACAUUGUGGUGAGUUGAAGAAAUGCUGUAAUCAUCCAUUCCUGUUUGAAAGUGCUGACCAUGGUUAUGCUGGAGACUCUGCAACAGCAGACACAGUAAGCAUUUUUGACUCUGACUGUAAUCCUCAAAAUGAUCUCCAGAAAAGGUUGAACAGAAAGGUGCUGAAGAUGAGGCAGAACAUGAAUUACUGAGUGCAUUUAAGGCAAUAAUAUCACAAUUAUGAAAAUUCUUUUCUUUCCAUUGUUAUAUUUGAAUAUUACAUUAUUCUUAUUGUAGAAGUGUAAGUUGUUUUUUGUUAUGGAUGAUAUUGCUCUUAUUGGCUAGAAUUUUUAAAAUAUGUUGUUGUUAUAAUAGAAGAAAUGAAAGUCUGAUGUUUUAAUAAGCAAA
Non-coding RNA from Lactuca sativa (garden lettuce), 576 nucleotides. NCBI's taxonomy places the organism in Eukaryota, Viridiplantae, Streptophyta, Magnoliopsida, Asterales, Asteraceae. The record is from RefSeq and is a predicted model, not a curated record.